CAAGUCGAACGGAAAGGCCCUGCUUGCAGGGUACUCGAGUGGCGAACGGGUGAGUAACACGUGGGUGAUCUGCCCUGCACUUCGGGAUAAGCUUGGGAAACUGGGUCUAAUACCGGAUAGGACCGCACUUUAGUGUGUGUGGUGGAAAGUUUUUUCGGUGUAGGAUGAGCUCGCGGCCUAUCAGCUUGUUGGUGGGGUAAUGGCCUACCAAGGCGGCGACGGGUAGCCGGCCUGAGAGGGUGUACGGCCACAUUGGGACUGAGAUACGGCCCAGACUCCUACGGGAGGCAGCAGUGGGGAAUAUUGCACAAUGGGCGCAAGCCUGAUGCAGCGACGCCGCGUGGGGGAUGAAGGCCUUCGGGUUGUAAACUCCUUUCGCUAGGGACGAAGCUUUUUGUGACGGUACCUAGAUAAGAAGCACCGGCUAACUACGUGCCAGCAGCCGCGGUAAUACGUAGGGUGCGAGCGUUGUCCGGAAUUACUGGGCGUAAAGGGCUCGUAGGUGGUUUGUCGCGUCGUCUGUGAAAUUCUGGGGCUUAACUCCGGGCGUGCAGGCGAUACGGGCAUAACUUGAGUGCUGUAGGGGUAACUGGAAUUCCUGGUGUAGCGGUGAAAUGCGCAGAUAUCAGGAGGAACACCGAUGGCGAAGGCAGGUUACUGGGCAGU
RNAcentral lists this ribosomal RNA (666 nucleotides) under uncultured Actinomycetales bacterium. Its description in RNAcentral is "bacterial SSU rRNA". It matches the Rfam family "Bacterial small subunit ribosomal RNA", at positions 58 to 737 of the family's 1533-position model. The record is from RNAcentral. Lineage: Bacteria; Bacillati; Actinomycetota; Actinomycetes; Actinomycetales.